AUUCUAGAACAUUCUCAUCACCCAUAUUUACAUUUAUUUUUAAUAACUCUCAUGUGUAAGCUGAGUGUUUUAAACUUUAGAAACUUCUGGGGGGGUGCUGAACUUGAUAAAAAUAUUCAGUAUACAACUGUUCUUUAUAGUUCACUCAUCAUUUUCAUAGAAUUAGGAUUUUAAAAUUAGAAAGUAAUUCAGGCCAUUUCCAUCUCAUGUCCCUCAAAUCCCACCUCAGUUUUGGGAUGAGGUGUCAAGUAUAAGUUUGUAAGUACACUAGUCAUUUGCAUAGCUAAGAUAAACAUCUAGAGAAGUCUAUAUGCGACUUGCUUAAAGCUGAAUGUUGAUUUACUGUUCACAUGAUUUGGGAGAUUUUGGUCACUGGGACUGAGCUAAUGGAGUUGAAGCAUUGUUGCGGGCAUUGUACCUCCAGACCAGUGUGUAACACAGAGUUCUUGCAGAUGUACGACAGAAUUGGAGAAACAGCUUCCAAUAGCGGGAAGACUCUCAGUACAACCAAGCUAUUCCUUACCUUUCUGAUUUCUGAACUUUUUCCACGUGAUACCUGCCGCUUUGAAGGCACUAAAAUAACAGAAGCAGAUAGAGCAGAAAUCCUCACUCAGAUCUUCCUGCUUCCUAUGUGUAUAACAGUUUGUGGCUUGCCGUGUCUGUUUUGUGUGUUGCAUUAUGCGUAUGUGAGUAUGUGCACAUGAUUUCCAGAAGGGAGAAGCGCACGAUACUGCCCGUGCUCGGUGACUCCUGAGAGCACGCUCCCUCUGCAUUUGGGCUCCUAGGUCGGCCUCGUCCUGUGGACGUUGCCCCUUGUUUCUUGCCAUCCACACAUUCCUGACGCCCCCCUGCUCUACUCUUUCUCCAGAGUACUUUUUCCAAACGUGAUUUGCACAUUUGUUAUGUUUAUUGUUUGUUUUCCACUUCUAGAAGUGUGCAGCCAGGCGGGAAUGUUUGAUUUGUUCACUGAUGAUCUCAGAUCUCUAGAACCCUGCCUUGCCUGUAGAGGGUGCUUGGUAAAUGUGCUCUGAAUGAAUGGCUCCAUGAUCCUCGUUUCUAAAAGAGCUAGCAUGAUUUCUCACUCAGUCCUGGUUGGACACAGGUUCCCUGGAACAGUGCUGUCGUGGUUAUCUUUUCAGGUGUCUUUGUUUCUUAACUUGAAACGCUUUGAGUUUUUUAUUGUUUUUGUUCUUCCUCAAUAGUUUUGAGUCCCUUGCAGAUAGGCUUUCAUUUUGUCCAGUCACCUGUUCAGGGAGCCUUGAGGGCCUUGGCUCACGUCUGCAGGUAACUGGUUUUUUUAUUUCUAUUUUUUUAUUUUUUAUUUUGAGACGAAGUCUCGCUCUGUCACCAGGCUGGAGUGCAGUGGUGCGAUCUCAGCUCACUGCAACCUCUGCCUCCUGCGUUCAAGUGAUUCUUCUGCCUCAGCCUUCCGAGUAGCUGGGACUACAGGCAUGUGCCACCACGCCUGGCUAAUUUUUUGUAUUUUUAGUAGAGACGGGGUUUCACCAUAUUAGCCAGGAUGGUCUCGAUCUCCUGACCUCGUGAUCCGCCCGCCUCGGCCUCCCAAAGUGCUAGGAUUACAGGCGUGAGCCACCACGCCCGGCCCUGCAGGUAACUGUUAAUGUAGGAAGUGCUGCCUCUGGGCACCUUGGCCCCAGGGUUCAUUAGCAGUUGCCCCUGGUGGGUUUUUGUUGGCUGUGAUGAAAAGUGCUUCUGUUCCCCCUCCACCAGACUCCUGCAGCUGUUUAAACAGUGGCUGUGACCCCCUGAGAAGAACCAGGGUUUCAAGGUGUGCACAUGUCUGUGUGUUUUGGUUUUCAGAGGUAUCACCUUGUGGUGACUCUCAACCUACAUGGAUUUUCAAAGAUUUAUUCAAUGUGUUUUUCAGAAAGUGUUGUGAAGAGCGAAGACUUUUCGCUCUCAGCUUAUGUGGAUCGGCGUGACCACCCCUUGCCGGAGGUGGCCCAUGUCAAGCACCUGUCUGCCAGCCAGAAGGCCUUGAAGGAGAAGGAGAAGGCCUCCUGGAGCAGCCUCUCCAUGGAUGAGAAAGUCGAGUGUGGGUAUUGAAGGGACCCACAGGCGCGCCCAGCAGCUCUUGGAAGUGUGUGUGUGUGUGUGUGUGUGUGUGUGUGUGUGUGUGUGUGUGUGUGCGUGCCUCUGCUCACUUCUGGGCCUACUGUCUAGAGAGCAGUCUUGCACAGGAGGGUUGCUGUGCUGGGUUUCGGGGUCACUGUCCCAGGGCCCCAGUUUAUGUGCUCACCAGUCACUUAGCUCUGCCAGCUGACAGAAUCUUUUGCUAGGCCCCCUUCUCUGUGCUGAGUGGAGGUAGCCUCUCAGCAUAUUUGCUGAGUAAGACAUUGUUAACUGUAAAUUACUGAAAGAAACUCAGCAAAAUGCAUAGUGUUUGAUAUGAAAGGGGCAUAAAAAUAACGAGAUUAAAUAGACCCUAACACUGUAAUUCAAGUAAGAAAUAAUUUUGCAGUUUUAAUUUGCACCUAAAGCAAACUGCAUUUUCUUCCUUUCUUGCUCUGUCACAUGCCUGCGUGGGCACGUGCGUGCACAUACGUGCAUGAACAUGAUGUGGCCCGGGUUGGUGUAUCCUUCAGCUCUGUGUUUCCUCCUUCACAAGUGUGGUUUUGGGGAGAAGUGGUUGAAUGUUGCAGAGGAGGGAGCUGCUGACCUUUGUACCUGUAAAUGGCUGUCCUCUCUGCCCCCAGUGUAUCGCAUUAAGUUCAAGGAGAGCUUUGCUGAGAUGAACAGGGGCUCGAACGAGUGGAAGACGGUUGUGGGCGGUGCCAUGUUCUUCAUCGGCUUCACCGCGCUCAUUAUCAUGUGGCAGAAGCGCCAUGGUGAGUAGAGAGGGAGGAAGGCACGGGCGCCUGGCCUGGGGCUCCAGCCUGCAGUGCCCAUUGGUGGGCUGUGGGGGACCUCCACAACUUGAGGCCGUGAGAUAGGGACUGCAUUCCAGAGUUCAUCUCAGGAUUGUUUUCCAGGCCUUGGUGACCUGGAGAACUGAAGUCGUGGGAGGUUAGUUUAUAAGCCAGCAUCUGAUUAUUCAUAGUCAGCCAUGCUUGUUGGGUGGUAAAAUACCUUAACUACUUUGUACAGCACACCACAUUUUCAGUAGCAAUUUAUGUGCUCACCAGUCACUUAGCAAAAGAUGACUUCGUGAAGGUUCGAGCAAGGAGAAGGGGACUCAUUCAUUUAAUGACUGUCUCGACUGUUGUGAGGACUGCAUCUCAACAGCCAGCAUCUGGGGAUCCCGACCUGAUAGUUUGUGUGUGGGCAUUGCUGGGUUGCUCGCUCAUGGUAACGACUCUUCUCCGAGGUUCUUUCUGUCCAGGCAGAACAGGCAUUUUUGCAUUCUGAAUAGUUAUAUUCUCGUACUUUUGGUUUGAAUGUGGAUGUGGGUUAAUAACAGACCUGAAUCUAUUUGAUCUUCCAGGUCACCUUGGGCUCUGUUUGUCAGAUCCUGUUAUCCAUAGCCUUUAGAGAGGACCUUCUGCUUUUAGCUUAUUUUGUUGCUAACUUUUUACAAACAAAGGGCUAAUUUUAAAAUGUCAGCGUUGUCAGUGGUCAGAAACCAUGUGUUUGAGUGGGUGUUGAGUGGCAGGUGGCUCUGCUGACCCAGUGGCUGGUGUGUCGGGAGGAUUUAACCUGUGUGAGGGAUUGGCGUAGAAACAACCUGUUGAGACAGUCUUGCCCAUAACCUGUCUCACACCGUAGUGUACGGCCCCCUCCCGCAAAGCUUUGACAAAGAGUGGGUGGCCAAGCAGACCAAGAGGAUGCUGGACAUGAAGGUGAACCCCAUCCAGGGCUUAGCCUCCAAGUGGGACUACGAAAAGAAUGAGUGGAAGAAGUGAGAGAUGCUGGCCUGCGCCUGCACCUGCGCCUGGCUCUGUCACCGCCAUGCAACUCCAUGCCUAUUUACUGGAAACCUGUUAUGCCAAACAGUUGUACCACUGCUAAUAAAUGACCAGUUUACCUGAAA
This 3991-nucleotide small RNA is filed under the name Pongo abelii (Sumatran orangutan). Its description in RNAcentral is "retained intron". The record is from RNAcentral. Lineage: Eukaryota; Metazoa; Chordata; Mammalia; Primates; Hominidae.